AGGUCUGUGUAAUUGGUGCAUGGA
RNAcentral lists this non-coding RNA (24 nucleotides) under Arabidopsis thaliana (thale cress). Lineage: Eukaryota; Viridiplantae; Streptophyta; Magnoliopsida; Brassicales; Brassicaceae. The record is from RNAcentral.